AUUGCUCCUAGAAGUAUUAUAGAUGUGGAUACUGUGUCACAUAUGGGUCAAGAGCUGACAGAGAGGAGAGAGGCCAUGUAUAUGUUUGCUAUUCUGACCUGAGAACAUCUGAAUGAUUAGUAGUCAGAUAGC
Molecule: small nucleolar RNA, 132 nt
Organism: Mastomys coucha (southern multimammate mouse)
Lineage: Eukaryota; Metazoa; Chordata; Mammalia; Rodentia; Muridae
Product: small nucleolar RNA SNORA17
Exons: 1
Source: RefSeq, a predicted model, not a curated record